This 1391-nucleotide ribosomal RNA is filed under the name Escherichia coli. RNAcentral describes it as "partial 23S ribosomal RNA". It matches the Rfam family "Bacterial large subunit ribosomal RNA", at positions 1572 to 2925 of the family's 2925-position model. The record is from RNAcentral. Lineage: Bacteria; Pseudomonadati; Pseudomonadota; Gammaproteobacteria; Enterobacterales; Enterobacteriaceae.
AGGCACUACGGUGCUGAAGUAACAAAUGCCCUGCUUCCAGGAAAAGCCUCUAAGCAUCAGGUAACAUCAAAUCGUACCCCAAACCGACACAGGUGGUCAGGUAGAGAAUACCAAGGCGCUUGAGAGAACUCGGGUGAAGGAACUAGGCAAAAUGGUGCCGUAACUUCGGGAGAAGGCACGCUGAUAUGUAGGUGAAGCGACUUGCUCGUGGAGCUGAAAUCAGUCGAAGAUACCAGCUGGCUGCAACUGUUUAUUAAAAACACAGCACUGUGCAAACACGAAAGUGGACGUAUACGGUGUGACGCCUGCCCGGUGCCGGAAGGUUAAUUGAUGGGGUUAGCGGUAACGCGAAGCUCUUGAUCGAAGCCCCGGUAAACGGCGGCCGUAACUAUAACGGUCCUAAGGUAGCGAAAUUCCUUGUCGGGUAAGUUCCGACCUGCACGAAUGGCGUAAUGAUGGCCAGGCUGUCUCCACCCGAGACUCAGUGAAAUUGAACUCGCUGUGAAGAUGCAGUGUACCCGCGGCAAGACGGAAAGACCCCGUGAACCUUUACUAUAGCUUGACACUGAACAUUGAGCCUUGAUGUGUAGGAUAGGUGGGAGGCUUUGAAGUGUGGACGCCAGUCUGCAUGGAGCCGACCUUGAAAUACCACCCUUUAAUGUUUGAUGUUCUAACGUUGGCCCGUAAUCCGGGUUGCGGACAGUGUCUGGUGGGUAGUUUGACUGGGGCGGUCUCCUCCUAAAGAGUAACGGAGGAGCACGAAGGUUGGCUAAUCCUGGUCGGACAUCAGGAGGUUAGUGCAAUGGCAUAAGCCAGCUUGACUGCGAGCGUGACGGCGCGAGCAGGUGCGAAAGCAGGUCAUAGUGAUCCGGUGGUUCUGAAUGGAAGGGCCAUCGCUCAACGGAUAAAAGGUACUCCGGGGAUAACAGGCUGAUACCGCCCAAGAGUUCAUAUCGACGGCGGUGUUUGGCACCUCGAUGUCGGCUCAUCACAUCCUGGGGCUGAAGUAGGUCCCAAGGGUAUGGCUGUUCGCCAUUUAAAGUGGUACGCGAGCUGGGUUUAGAACGUCGUGAGACAGUUCGGUCCCUAUCUGCCGUGGGCGCUGGAGAACUGAGGGGGGCUGCUCCUAGUACGAGAGGACCGGAGUGGACGCAUCACUGGUGUUCGGGUUGUCAUGCCAAUGGCACUGCCCGGUAGCUAAAUGCGGAAGAGAUAAGUGCUGAAAGCAUCUAAGCACGAAACUUGCCCCGAGAUGAGUUCUCCCUGACUCCUUGAGGGUCCUGAAGGAACGUUGAAGACGACGACGUUGAUAGGCCGGGUGUGUAAGCGCAGCGAUGCGUUGAGCUAACCGGUACUAAUGAACCGUGAGGCUUAACCUUACAACGCCGAAG